Molecule: ribosomal RNA, 798 nt
Filed under: Didymostilbe matsushimae
Lineage: Eukaryota; Fungi; Ascomycota; Sordariomycetes; Hypocreales; Stachybotryaceae
Description: eukaryotic LSU rRNA
Rfam family: Eukaryotic large subunit ribosomal RNA
Source: RNAcentral
AUUGCCUCAGUAACGGCGAGUGAAGCGGCAACAGCUCAAAUUUGAAAUCUGGCCCCAGGCCCGAGUUGUAAUUUGCAGAGGAUGCUUCUGGCGCGGUGCCUUCCGAGUUCCCUGGAACGGGACGCCAUAGAGGGUGAGAGCCCCGUCUGGUCGGACACCAAGCCUCUGUGAAGCUCCUUCGACGAGUCGAGUAGUUUGGGAAUGCUGCUCUAAAUGGGAGGUAUAUGUCUUCUAAAGCUAAAUACCGGCCAGAGACCGAUAGCGCACAAGUAGAGUGAUCGAAAGAUGAAAAGCACUUUGGAAAGAGAGUUAAACAGCACGUGAAAUUGUUGAAAGGGAAGCGUUCACGACCAGACUUGGGCCCGGUUGAUCAUCCAGCGUUCUCGCUGGUGCACUCUGCCGGCCCAGGCCAGCAUCAGUUCGCGCCGGGGGACAAAGGCGGCGGGAAUGUGGCUCCCCCGGGAGUGUUAUAGCCCGCCGCGCAAUACCCUGGGGUGGACUGAGGUUCGCGCUCUGCAAGGAUGCUGGCGUAAUGGUCGUCAACGACCCGUCUUGAAACACGGACCAAGGAGUCGUCUUCGUAUGCGAGUGUUCGGGUGUCAAACCCCUACGCGUAAUGAAAGUGAACGCAGGUGAGAGCUUCGGCGCAUCAUCGACCGAUCCUGAUGUUCUCGGAUGGAUUUGAGUAAGAGCAUACGGGGCCGGACCCGAAAGAAGGUGAACUAUGCCUGUAUAGGGUGAAGCCAGAGGAAACUCUGGUGGAGGCUCGCAGCGGUUCUGACGUGCAAAUCGAUCGUC